UGCCCAUGCUGGCCUCCUCACUGCUCCCACAUGGAAAUUUGACUGGAGGGCUGGGUUCAAACUUGAAUCUCAGCUGAGCCCCUUCAAAUCUGUUCUGAGCUAAUACACAAGCUGUGGGUUCAGCAUGUGAAAGGAGUACUCAGUGUUCAGAAGCAGUUAAAUUCCUUCUCCUCCCCAGCACCAUCUGACAAGGUGGGACAGACCUGCCAGGAGAAAUGGCCCAGCAAGAGAACACGCAGGCUUUCCCCACGUCUCCACCCCAUCCACAGGAAGUGCAAAGAUGCAUAACCCAGGGACUCCUAAAGACCUAGGAAGGAUCACCAAGGCAAGAGACCCAGCAUUCCUGUCACCUCAGUGUGGACCACCAGUAU
RNAcentral lists this long non-coding RNA (371 nucleotides) under Chinchilla lanigera (long-tailed chinchilla). Its description in RNAcentral is "lncRNA (ENSCLAG00000025646.1)". Lineage: Eukaryota; Metazoa; Chordata; Mammalia; Rodentia; Chinchillidae. The record is from RNAcentral.